AACGAACGCUGGCGGCAGGCUUAACACAUGCAAGUCGAGCGCCCCGCAAGGGGAGCGGCAGACGGGUGCGUAACGCGUGGGAACAUACCCUUUGGUUCGGAAUAACUCAGGGAAACUUGAGCUAAUACCGGAUAAGCCCUUCGGGGGAAAGAUUUAUCGCCAUAGGAUUGGCCCGCGUCUGAUUAGCUAGUUGGUGAGGUAACGGCUCACCAAGGCGACGAUCAGUAGCUGGUCUGAGAGGAUGAUCAGACACACUGGGACUGAGACACGGCCCAGACUCCUACGGGAGGCAGCAGUGGGGAAUAUUGGACAAUGGGCGCAAGCCUGAUCCAGCCAUGCCGCGUGAGUGAUGACGGCCUUAGGGUUGUAAAGCUCUUUCGCUAGGGACGAUAAUGACGGUACCUAGAUAAGAAGCCCCGGCUAACUUCGUGCCAGCAGCCGCGGUAA
This 447-nucleotide ribosomal RNA is filed under the name uncultured bacterium. RNAcentral describes it as "partial 16S ribosomal RNA". It matches the Rfam family "Bacterial small subunit ribosomal RNA", at positions 29 to 523 of the family's 1533-position model. The record is from RNAcentral.